GUAACAAGGUCUCCGUUGGUGAACCAGCGGAGGGAUCAUUACCGAGUUUACAACUCCCAAACCCCUGUGAACAUACCUUAAUGUUGCCUCGGCGGAUCAGCCCGCGCCCCGUAAAACGGGACGGCCCGCCAGAGGACCCAAACUCUAAUGUUUCUUAUUGUAACUUCUGAGUAAAACAAACAAAUAAAUCAAAACUUUCAACAACGGAUCUCUUGGUUCUGGCAUCGAUGAAGAACGCAGCAAAAUGCGAUAAGUAAUGUGAAUUGCAGAAUUCAGUGAAUCAUCGAAUCUUUGAACGCACAUUGCGCCCGCUGGUAUUCCGGCGGGCAUGCCUGUUCGAGCGUCAUUUCAACCCUCAAGCCCCCGGGUUUGGUGUUGGGGAUCGGCUCUGCCUUACGGCGGUGCCGCCCCCGAAAUACAUUGGCGGUCUCGCUGCAGCCUCCAUUGCGUAGUAGCUAACACCUCGCAACUGGAACGCGGCGCGGCCAUGCCGUAAAACCCCAACUUCUGAAUGUUGACCUCGGAUCAGGUAGGAAUACCCGCUGAACUUAAGCAUAUCAA
RNAcentral lists this ribosomal RNA (561 nucleotides) under Fusarium avenaceum. RNAcentral's name for it is "eukaryotic LSU rRNA". The stretch from base 193 to 346 matches the Rfam family "5.8S ribosomal RNA". Lineage: Eukaryota; Fungi; Ascomycota; Sordariomycetes; Hypocreales; Nectriaceae. The record is from RNAcentral.